This 355-nucleotide ribosomal RNA is filed under the name uncultured Sphingobacteriales bacterium. RNAcentral's name for it is "bacterial SSU rRNA". It matches the Rfam family "Bacterial small subunit ribosomal RNA", at positions 1027 to 1382 of the family's 1533-position model. Lineage: Bacteria; Pseudomonadati; Bacteroidota; Sphingobacteriia; Sphingobacteriales. The record is from RNAcentral.
CUUUCUGCAAGGUGCUGCAUGGUUGUCGUCAGCUCGUGCCGUGAGGUGUCGGGUUAAGUCCCAUAACGAGCGCAACCCUUAUCGUUAGUUGCCAUCUGGUAAUGCAGGGGACUCUAGCGAAACUGCCACCGUAAGGUGAGAGGAAGUGGGAUGACGUCAAAUCAGCAGGCCCUUAUGUCCAGGGCUACACACGUGUUACAAUGGUCGGUACAGAGGGCAGCUACCUGGUGACAGGAUGCUAAUCUCGAAAACCGGUCUCAGUUCGGAUCGAAGUCUGCAACUCGACUUCGUGAAGCUGGAUUCGCUAGUAAUCGCGCAUCAGCUAUGGCCGCGGUCGAAUACGUUCCCGGGCCUU